Molecule: ribosomal RNA, 600 nt
Filed under: uncultured bacterium
Lineage: Bacteria
Description: bacterial SSU rRNA
Rfam family: Bacterial small subunit ribosomal RNA (bases 1-439)
Source: RNAcentral
ACGGGUGCGGAACACGUUGGCACUGCCUUUAUCUGGGGGAUAGCCUUUCGAAAGGAAGAUAAUACCCCAUAAUAUGUUGAAUGGCAUCAUUCGACAUUGAAAACUCCGGUGGAUAGAGAUGGGCACGCGCAAGAUUAGAUAGUUGGUGAGGUAACGGCUCACCAAGUCUACGAUCUUUAGGGGGCCUGAGAGGGUGAUCCCCCACACUGGUACUGAGACACGGACCAGACUCCUACGGGAGGCAGCAGUGAGGAAUAUUGGACAAUGGGUGAGAGCCUGAUCCAGCCAUCCCGCGUGAAGGACGGCUGCCCUAUGGGUUGUAAACUUCUUUUGUAUAGGGAUAAACCUACCCUCGUGAGGGUAGCUGAAGGUACUAUACGAAUAAAGCACCGGCUAACUCCGUGCCACAGGCCGGCGGGUUAAUACGGAGGGGUUGGCCAAAGGCCGGUUUAUCCCGGGAAUUUUUAUUGGGGGGUUUUUAAAAAGGGGGUUCCCGGUUAAGGCGGGAUUCCUUGGGUAAAGUUUCCAUGGGGUUGGGAAAAAUUCUUUCCACAGUUUUAACUUGGGUGGAAAAAACUUGGGCCAUUUUGAUUUAACUUG